RNAcentral lists this unclassified non-coding RNA (336 nucleotides) under soil metagenome. RNAcentral describes it as "partial contains 5.8S ribosomal RNA, internal transcribed spacer 2, and large subunit ribosomal RNA". The stretch from base 1 to 120 matches the Rfam family "5.8S ribosomal RNA", at positions 35 to 154 of the family's 154-position model. The record is from RNAcentral.
GAUGAAGAACGUAGCGAAAUGCGAUAAGUAAUGUGAAUUGCAGAAUUCAGUGAAUCAUCGAAUCUUUGAACGCACAUUGCGCCCGCCAGUAUUCUGGCGGGCAUGCCUGUUCGAGCGUCAUUUCAACCAUCAAGCCCCAGGCUUGCGUUGGGGACCUGCGGCUGCCGCAGGCCCUGAAAACCAGUGGCGGGCUCGCUGUCACACCGGGCGUAGUAGAUUUUAUCUCGCUCAGGGCGUGCUGCGGGUUCCGGCCGUUAAAAAGCCUUUUUUACCCAAGGUUGACCUCGGAUCAGGUAGGAAUACCCGCUGAACUUAAGCAUAUCAAUAAGCGGAGGA